GACGAACGCUGGCGGCGUGCUUAACACAUGCAAGUCGAACGGAAAGGCCCUGCUUUUGUGGGGUGCUCGAGUGGCGAACGGGUGAGUAACACGUGAGUAACCUGCCCUUGACUUUGGGAUAACUUCAGGAAACUGGGGCUAAUACCGGAUAGGAGCGCCUGCUGCAUGGUGGGGGUGGGAAAGUUUCGGCGGUUGGGGAUGGACUCGCGGCUUAUCAGCUUGUUGGUGGGGUAGUGGCUUACCAAGGCUUUGACGGGUAGCCGGCCUGAGAGGGUGACCGGCCACAUUGGGACUGAGGUACGGCCCAGACUCCUACGGGAGGCAGCAGUGGGGAAUAUUGCACAAUGGGCGGAAGCCUGAUGCAGCAACGCCGCGUGCGGGAUGACGGCCUUCGGGUUGUAAACCGCUUUCGCCUGUGACGAAGCGUGAGUGACGGUAAUGGGUAAAGAAGCACCGGCUAACUACGUG
Molecule: ribosomal RNA, 468 nt
Filed under: uncultured bacterium
Lineage: Bacteria
Description: partial 16S ribosomal RNA
Rfam family: Bacterial small subunit ribosomal RNA
Source: RNAcentral